Molecule: transfer RNA, 66 nt
Filed under: Bottapotamon lingchuanense
Lineage: Eukaryota; Metazoa; Arthropoda; Malacostraca; Decapoda; Potamidae
Description: tRNA-Tyr
Rfam family: tRNA
About the family: Transfer RNA (tRNA) molecules are approximately 80 nucleotides in length. Their secondary structure includes four short double-helical elements and three loops (D, anti-codon, and T loops).
Source: RNAcentral
AAUAAAGUGACUGAGAGAAAGGUGGUGAAUUGUAAAUUCAUAGACAAGUUAAAUACUUUUUUAUUA